RNAcentral lists this transfer RNA (31 nucleotides) under Nandus nandus. Its description in RNAcentral is "partial tRNA-Thr". The record is from RNAcentral. Lineage: Eukaryota; Metazoa; Chordata; Actinopteri; Anabantiformes; Nandidae.
GCACUAGUAGCUCAGAGAAAGAGCGCCGGUC